Molecule: long non-coding RNA, 563 nt
Organism: Actinia tenebrosa (Australian red waratah sea anemone)
Lineage: Eukaryota; Metazoa; Cnidaria; Anthozoa; Actiniaria; Actiniidae
Source: RefSeq, a predicted model, not a curated record
AUCACUCUUCAAAUUCCCAAGUAGUAAUACAACAUCUCAUUUAUUUUGGAUCCCAUCAGAAUUUAGCGUUAAAACAAAAUGAAAGCUAUUGUAUUUUUAUUGAUUGCUGCACUGCUUGCUUCACAACACGUCGACGCCUUCACUGCAGGAAUUGGAAACUUUGGCAAGCGAGAACUUAGAAAGUCCCAAGAUGCUGUGCGCACGGUGUGUCGUUACAUUCGAGAACUACACACACAGGAUGCCCAAUACCCAAGAUAUCCAAACUACGAGAACGUACGCGAAAUAUGCAAAUGAAGACGAGACGUUGAUUACAUUAGAUCAUCAACUGGAUAAGAUAUUACGAACCAAUAUUAGCAUUGGUAAUUAAUGAUAUUUAUUGGAAGACUUAGAACGAGAGAUAGAAGACAGGUUCAAAUACGUUGGUCAGAAGAUAUGCUAUUUGUGUUUAAAUAUGAUGUAAGACUUUAUAAUUUGAGCCAGAUAGACUGAUAUAUAUAUAUACGAAAUUGUAGUAAAUCUAUUGGAAAUAUUUUAACUAUGUAAAAUAAAUGAUUAUCUCAUAA